This is a non-coding RNA of Arachis ipaensis, 538 nucleotides long. Lineage: Eukaryota; Viridiplantae; Streptophyta; Magnoliopsida; Fabales; Fabaceae. The record is from RefSeq and is a predicted model, not a curated record.
CUCACUAAUAAAAUACCCAGACCAAAUUAAUUUUGCGCCAUAACCUUCAAGUAUUUGGCGCGAGAACCCUUCCUCAGAGCCAAGGUCAACAGGCUCCUCCCUCAGCCGUGUAGCUCCCGUGCACGAAGGUGAAGUAGAAGGGGUCGUCCGAGUUUUCUCCUUCUGCCGCGCAUGUGUGUGACAUCGUCGGCAUCAUCCCAAUCCAUCCGUCCGUGUGUCAUCCUUGGCAGCCUUCUCCCCUUUGGCGGUGCUUCGCGUUUCCGAUUGCAAUAGACUCCCCUCUCAGUGGUUCUCUGACGAGUGGGUAUAUCAAAGCUCUUGAAUAAUUUACUUGGGGUGUAUUCCUGUACCUGCAACUGUGACAGAUUUUGAAGGCAAGACAGAUCUCAACAUUCGUGCUUUAGAGGUUGUGGAAGAACUUAGAACUAAAAGAGCAGACAAGCAGUCCAUGCUCCUGUUAGUGGCUUUUAACAAAGACAAGGCAGCUUUACCUCAACCUCUGCUAAUUAGAAUUUAGGUGAAAAUAAAUACAACCUCA